UUAAAAGAUUUGAAGACUUCAACCUGCAUAUUUGGAAGACUUGAAGACCUUCAGCCUGCAUACUUGGAAGAUUUGAAGACUUCAAAU
RNAcentral lists this microRNA precursor (87 nucleotides) under Solanum tuberosum (potato). RNAcentral describes it as "MIR8024 microRNA precursor family". It matches the Rfam family "MIR8024 microRNA precursor family". Lineage: Eukaryota; Viridiplantae; Streptophyta; Magnoliopsida; Solanales; Solanaceae. The record is from Rfam by way of RNAcentral.